RNAcentral lists this ribosomal RNA (484 nucleotides) under uncultured bacterium. RNAcentral's name for it is "partial 16S ribosomal RNA". It matches the Rfam family "Bacterial small subunit ribosomal RNA", at positions 30 to 507 of the family's 1533-position model. The record is from RNAcentral.
AUUGAACGCUGGCGGCAGGCCUAACACAUGCAAGUCGAGCGGAUGAAGGGAGCUUGCUCCUGGAUUCAGCGGCGGACGGGUGAGUAAUGCCUAGGAAUCUGCCUGGUAGUGGGGGAUAACGUCCGGAAACGGGCGCUAAUACCGCAUACGUCCUGAGGGAGAAAGUGGGGGAUCUUCGGACCUCACGCUAUCAGAUGAGCCUAGGUCGGAUUAGCUAGUUGGUGGGGUAAAGGCCUACCAAGGCGACGAUCCGUAACUCGUCUGAGAGGAUGAUCAGUCACACUGGAACUGAGACACGGUCCAGACUCCUACGGGAGGCAGCAGUGGGGAAUAUUGGACGAUGGGCGAAAGCCUGAUCCAGCCAUGCCGCGUGUGUGAAGAAGGUCUUCGGAUUGUAAAGCACUUUAAGUUGGGAGGAAGGGCAGUAAGUUAAUACCUUGCUGUUUUGACGUUACCAACAGAAUAAGCACCGGCUAACUUCGUG